Molecule: unclassified non-coding RNA, 1589 nt
Filed under: Hevea brasiliensis (rubber tree)
Lineage: Eukaryota; Viridiplantae; Streptophyta; Magnoliopsida; Malpighiales; Euphorbiaceae
Source: RNAcentral
GCAAUAUCUUUACAUUUAUAAUAAUCACUUUUUUAAACUUGCAGUUCUGUUAUCUCUACUAUUGUUUAGUUUCGAAAUCAGUAAAGAUUACACCAAAACUGACAAAUGAAUGAAAGGAAAUAGCUAUCUAUUAGAGCAGCUACUGUUGUUUGCUGCAAACUGUAUUUCUGUGGUGCACACAGCUUUCUAUUGUUUGGAUCAUUCUCGCUCCAAAUGCAGACUAAUCGCAUUUCUCUACCUCGAGAAGAAGAGAAUAUCUUGACACAACAUAGCAGCAUUUGGCAUCAAAUGAUCAUUCAAAUCUAGCAGUGGUAUCUGGACUAGAUGUUCAUCUCGAAAGCGGCUUCUGAAGAAGAGCUGUCAAAUAAACUUCCCCAUUCUUCACACCACUAGCAUCAUUCUUAUUAGCCACUGUCCACUUCACCUUCUUGUAGUUCAAUUUCCAGAUCAAGGGUUGAAAAACCUUCUCAAGAUCUGCUCUUUUACUAAAGAAAUGGUCCAACCAGAGGCAUCCACCAGCCCUCAACACUCUAUCAACAUCAAAAAGCAAGAACUCCAUCAUGGUCACUGGAAUCCACCUAUUCACAGCAUGACCACAUCUUACAAGAUCCAGCACCCCAUCAAACACUGGCAGCCUCUGCUGCAAAGGUACAUGUAAAGGCACCAAUCCCCUAAGUGCCACAGUCUCACUAUAAGGGGCACCAAGAUUCAUUGUUGUUGUCACAACAGUCACAUUAUGCAGCUUCAUUUGUGCAGCAAAAGUUCCUGUACCACCCCCAAUAUCGAGUGCCAGCCUAAUAACACUCUUUGAGGUCUUAGUUAGCUGAAGAAACUGUGGAAUUGGGAGAUCUAGAUCUGACUUAAAAUCCAAGAAUUUUGAUUGCUCAACUUUCAUAUCAAAUCCCAAGUUGGGAUUAGACUGAGACAAACAAGAAAAGCUCUUACAAGUGUAAUUAUUCCACAACAAGGCCUUUUCAGGGAUAGUAGAAAAAGGGGUUUUAGGCAAAGAAGCGGGGAUACUAGAAGGGGUUCUUGAAAAACAGCGCCUCCUAGGUAGAGGGUGACACCCUCUAAGAAUAAGAGACUCAGCUACUGAAGAAUCUGAGGGGCAAAGACUAAAGGGUGUGUAGCUCAUAUACUGAUGAAGCAAAUCAGGAUUGUCUUUACAAGAAGAAGCAAUAGGUGAUAAAUGAGUGUAAAGAAGGAGAUCAGAAGGGAUCGUUACUGUAGAUUUCUUAGCUUUACCAGAUGGUGGAGCUGGAGGCUGGAGGCGCGUGAGGUGGUUAAUAGUGGCGCGUAUAGUCUGAAGCUGAUGCAGAAGGUGGUCAGGAACAGGUGGAGCAACAGGGGGCUUGGAUUGGAUGUUGGAAGAGAGAUGAUACAAAGAAAGAAUGUUGGUAGCCACCAUAGCUACCAAAAGAAGCAAAUUUAGACCCAUUGUGAAUCCCAUUUUUGUGGCUCCUGCAAAAUUUUCUUGAUUGCUGAUACACUUUAGAGAGUGUAAAAGCUCAAGAAAAGCAUAAAGUUUUGUGCUUUAUGUUACUUCUACUACUAAAUCUACUAUUACUACCGACUGAGAGAGAGUUGAG